Carya illinoinensis is the source of this 1573-nucleotide long non-coding RNA. RefSeq lists it as uncharacterized. The record is from RefSeq and is a predicted model, not a curated record. NCBI's taxonomy places the organism in Eukaryota, Viridiplantae, Streptophyta, Magnoliopsida, Fagales, Juglandaceae. The transcript has 2 exons.
CCCCCCCCCCCCCCCACCAAUCUUUGCCCACCAACACACUCACAACCAUCAAGCUCUCAAACCCAUCUCUCUCCAACAUCCAUCCAAGCCUUCCAGACAUAGUAAGCCUCUCAAUUUCUCUCUUCAUUGGCAUUUUUUUGGCUCUCUCUAGUCAUUCAAGUAAGGCCCCCACCUCUUUUUGUAUUUUUUUUCUCAUUCUUCAACCUUAGAUGUAAAGUUUUUAAUAUCAGUAGGAGUAAUGGUUUCUUGGAUGGGUUCGUUUUUUUGUUGAUUUUACCAUAUUUUUCCUCAUGGAGUGAAAUGGAGACAAGUUUUUUUUUUCUUUUCCCUUUGAUCUCAAGGAGUAUGUUAGUUCUUUUUGUAUUUCUAAAUGACAAACAUUUUUCUUUGCACAUAUGGCCAAGAUUUGAGCAGGAGAUCAGUGAGACUCUGCACAAAAGGCAUUGGAUUAUGCUUGUGGAGUUGUAGUUGUGACUGUCCUCUAAUCCUUCAAAACGGUGCCUGUCACCAACCUAACACUAUAACGAAUCACUUUGAAACCCUACUACUCUUAGAUCUGAUCCCAUGAUUUGCAUUAUAUUUUUUAGUUACUAGUAGAUUUUAGAAUCUUCGAUGUGCUCUAAUGUCUAGGUUAUUUUUUAUUUUUGGGUUGCUUUUUGACUCCUGGAGAUCUGGUAUAUAACUUUGAUGUUGUUGGAAAAUCUCUUUUUGCAUUAUUUCGUGGAGAUCACAUAGUUUAAGAACAUAAUAAUAUAGUUUUUUUUUUUAGGGUGGGAAUGGGUAGUUGAAAUAGCACAGGGGGAGGUUAUUUCAACGCUAUUUGACUAGAGUUAUUUUUAGGUUGCAGCAAAGACUAGAUUUAAAUUUGUACAUAUUCUUUUUCUAAAAUACAAAUCUUGCAAACCUUAAACCACCUAUCUAUCAAGUAUCUCCCUAAGUAACUCAAAAAAGUGUAAUUAGUAGUGCUGGACUACAAUUCACAGCCAAGAAACUUCAAAGCCCUGCUGUGUGACAAAUGUAAUGUUUUUUUGGAAUUUUCAUUUGGCUUUCAUUUUUUGGGUUUAAAUUUUCACUCAUAAGGUUUUAUUUUUAAUUUGUUAAAUUAGAAAAAUAUACGGAGAGUCGGCAAUUAAGAUGAAUUUGGGAUUGUUGCAAGAUUCACGCACUAAUGUGGUUUUCUUUGAUUCUCUAAGUGAAUAUAUGUGAAUAAUUCAGUAUUUUGGUUGAGUUUUUUUACAGGUACUUAUGAUUUUUCAAUUUCUUCUUGACUGGGUUGGAAGAAAAAUAGAGAAAUUUAUCUCUUUGAAUAGGACAUUACUUUAUCUAUGAGCUUUAAAAGCUAUGAAGACUAGCACGGCGAUGUCGCCAAGUGUCAUGAAAAAAUUGCAGGGCUUUGGUAAAAGCUUAUGAGAUGAACCCAUUGAUUCAUCUUCCGUUUGGGUGGCUACAGCAAAUAGACUUUAAGUUUUAUUUAGUGUGAUUAAAUCACAUAGAAGACUAUGUUAUUGAUAUAUAACUCAUCUUGUAAUUUUAUAUUUUGUAAUGUAAUGUAAUUUGUAGUGGAUUGCAUGCA